This 28883-nucleotide long non-coding RNA is filed under the name Ananas comosus (pineapple). RNAcentral's name for it is "long non-coding RNA (ACOM_LNC025149)". The record is from RNAcentral. Lineage: Eukaryota; Viridiplantae; Streptophyta; Magnoliopsida; Poales; Bromeliaceae.
CUCGGUGCUUCUAAGUUUCUAACCUUUGAAUCUACUCCUUAAUUACUAAUAGCCUUUGAUCAAAUAUUAUUUCACUUACCACCAUUUACUAUCAUCAUCUCAACCUCACAUCACUCCAUCAAAUGGCUAAAAAUUCAAAAGCACCACACUCAUGAUACUUUUGAGAGUAUUCUAGUUCAACUCUCUCUCUCUCUCUCUCUCUCUCUCUCUCUAUAUAUAUAUAUAUAUAUAUAGAGUUGUGCUGGUAUGCUUAUGGAAGCACGGAGGCCUCCGUGCUUCUAAGUUGUUUUCGAUGUUCAGACUUUCGAAUCGACGAUCGGUUUCGUUAGAGUUGAUCUAGAGUAUUUGAAGUACCUAGAAAAUAAAUUUUGCGAUUUUUCGAUAUCAUUUGCCUAAUGAUCAAAGGGGCUCAAAAUCAAUAAUUUUAAUAGCCGUGAUGAGCCGGUUGUAAGUUUAACGGUGUAGAAAUAUCCAAAUCACGUGAAAUUUUGAUAAAAAAUUCUUUAUACUAUAUAAAAUAAGAUCAAUAUUUUUGAUCUAAAUUUUUAAUGUCAUAUCAUCACAUUUUGUGAGAUUUUUAUUUUCAGCCGUUGAUUUUGAGCCCCUUCGAUCACUAGGCAAAUAAUAUCGAAAAAUCGCAAAAUUUAUUUUUUAGGUACUUUAAAUACUCUAAAUCAAGUCUAACAGUGUGUGUAUAUAUAUAUAUAUAUAUAUAUAUAUUGUUGAUUACUAAAUUUUAAAUUAAAAAUUUAGUUUCAAAAAUUAUAACAGCUUAAAUGCUGCCAUUUUUCAAUAGCGACAAUGAAAGGACAGUGAGGUACGCAGGGAGUGUGCUGUAAUUUCACAUGCCAUGUAGCAUUCAUAGCCUCGUUAGUCCUAAAAGCGGUGAAAGCUAAUGCUAUUAAAUGUUUGGUACGUAGCUUUCUUUUUCCCUCGCUCCUGUCUAUCUCUAAAUGCAAAUUUUUACUCUUGCAUGUAAAUUUGUUUGCGCAAAAUGGUGAGUGGAUGAGAGCAUCAUAUUAGGUUCUUUUACUUGUGAGCUGUUUAGUUUUAAAAUGAGAAUUAACACCUUAUCAAAAUAUGCGCCUUUCAUUGUCAAAGUUUAAAAAAGAAAGACCAAGUCUUAUUAAAUUCAAUUCUAGCUAGAUAAGAAAUAUCUGUUCUGAAAACAUCAAUAAAAAGCUGCAGCAAUAGUAAAAUAUUCCCUUUGGAAUGGAUUCAUUUGUAUGUUCUAGAAAAGUUAGUGACACCUGAAUUAUACGUCUAUACACAAGGAAUGAUGCUUUCUUGUGCCACUACACCAAAAACGGUUUAUGGCGACACUUUUAAAUAUAGAUACAUGUCAAAAAAAUGCUGCUAGCUAAAAUUACCGACACUUUUAAAAAAUGUUGCUAUAUGUGGGGUCGCUGGGUAUAUAGUGACAGUUAAAGAGUGUCGCUAUAAUCUAAAAGAGUGCUGCUAAUUUACCAACACUUAUUUAAGCAUUUAGCAACCGCCAAAACUCUAUCUCGUUGGCUGUGGUGGCAGAGGAGGACGACAGUAAAGGCUCUUCGUCUAGAAUUUCAGUGGAUUAAGUGAAGAGAGAAGAAAAGAUGGUAAUUGAUUUUUUUUUUUUCUUUUCUGUUUGUAAUCAGGCCAAAUGGACUGGGUGUGGUGGGUUGAGUAGAGUAAUCUUUUAUUUUUGAUUGGAUUGGGCUUUAUAUUUAGGCAUUAGUAGAUGUGUUUUUAAGUUUUAGCAUAAAUGGGACACUUACUCAAAAAUGUUCCAAACAUGUGUCCUUAUAAUCUAAUUCUGUUGUAGUGUGCCUUCACCAAGAAUGAGCCAUGGAUACACAAUGAGAAAUCAAAUGACCACUGAAGGGAACAAUACUCCACUUUGUGCAACUUUAUCCACAUGGUUUAUCUUAUUCCAGUGCACAGUACUGCUACUACUUUCCCCAAAUCUACUGUUCCUAAAUAAUAUCAUAUUCAGGACAAGUGCCGAAUGAAAAGGGUGGUGUUAGGCCUGAAUAAAUAUGGAUGUCCUUGUUGUAUGCCAUGGCUUUAUUUCUUCUGGGUUUGAGCCUUUAAGGCCAAUGUAAUGAAACAUGCAUGUUGCCUUUCCUUUUUUUUGAAUGAUGUCCUUUAGAUGCUGACGCACAUGUACUCAUUCACACUUUUAAUGAAUUUUGGCAUCACCAAACAAUGCAUACACUUAUCACUUCAAGUGCAUGCAUUCAAGUGAAUGCUAAUUAUAAGAAUUUUUAUUCUUUAUUGUAGAAUGUUAUUUCAUUAUUGAACAAAUGUUUGUUUGUUUGUUUUUUUUUUUUUUUUUUAUUACUUGCCUUAUUCAUUUCUUCUCCAAAAAUAAAAUAAUAGUGAUUUUGAAUCACAAAGCUUCUUCCCCGCUAUGUUGGAUUCAAAAUUAUUUUCGAAUGUUAAAAUUGUGAUAAAACAACCAUUGUUUUAUAUCUUUCUGAGGUUCGAAAAAAGGGUCGAUUCUGGUCAUCCAUCGAUGAGUUCAAAUUUCACUCUUGGUUUUUAUCAAGUAAGCUUUUCUUGUUUGCUUUUUUCUAAUCUUUUGGCCAUUAUUUGCCUUUUUCUAACUUCUUGGCCAUGUUAUAUAUUUCUGUUUUUUUAGAGAAGUUAGCAUACUAUUUACUUCGUUUAUUUUUUUUUAGAAAUAAACUUAACUAAAAAUAUGAAUCAAUUAGGAUUCGCACUUAGAACUUUGGAUACCAAUUAUUAAUUUCUUUAUCACUUGCACUAGGAACAGUCGGUAUGUGAUGUAUUUCUAUUAAAUUUAUGGUCCAACUCUUUUUAAGGACUAGUCAUGGGGAGGUCACAAUCCAAUUAUUAAAACUACUUUUUCUUUUCUAGAAACAUAAAGUAAGUGUUGCAACGUUCCUGCAAUUCAAAGUAAACUUAAUGGUGUCCCAUGGGCCAUGGCCCCUUGACUUUCCUCCUAUUGUACCACCACACACUACUGAUCUCCUUUUAUCCAUCUUUUCUUAAUCAUUGAAGUUCAGUAGUAUGAAGGAAAACUCAUGUUAGGAGUAAAAGUUAUAUUCUAGAUGCAGCAACUCCAAUUCAUAGUUUGAAGUUUGAAAAUGACAUAAAACUUUCUGGAUAAUACAAUUUAGUGAUGAAGGAUCAUCUUCUUCUAUAAGGUUUUUUUUUUUUUUUUUUUUUUUGAGAGAGAGAUAGGUAGCAUACUACCCGCUUCGUUUAUUUAUAAAUAAAAUAAACUUAGCUGGAAAUAUGAAUCAACCAGGAUUCGAACUUGAAUCUCGGGUACUAACCAUCAAGCCCUUUGCCACUUGUUCUAGGGACGGUCGGAAUCUUCUAUAAGGGUUGUGUAUAAGAAAAACAUAGUUUUAUCUCUUUUCUUAAUUUUAUUGCGCUAAAGUUUAGAUGGAUCUCAAAACUGUUUACCUAAAUAAAUAAUUUUAUAGGAGAAAAUAUGAGCGCACGAGAGAGAGAGAGAGAGAGAGAGAGAGAGAGAGAGAGAGAGAGAGAGAGAGAGAGAGAGAGAGAGAGAGAGAGUACUCUGAUUUCUAAGUAGCAUUUCAUUAAAACAUACAUACAUACAAUCUUAAUUAGUAGACAAGCACUUUCACACACACACAACUCUCUCUCUCUCUCUCUCUCUCUCUCUCUCUCUCUCUCUUUUCUUUUUCUUUUUUUUCCCUCACUCUCAAAAGGUGGGGGCAAACCUAGUGCUUGGGUGGACACUGGUAACACUUGUUGAAGAGCCCAAAUGUGUCCACUUGACGAAUGAAGUUGACCAUGCUCGCCCACCCACCGAACCCAAACCCAACCACAAAAACCCACACCACCACGAAGCAAUUCACCGAGUAUAGACCCGCCCAUCCUCCUAAGAAUGUUGGUGGCCUCUCCACAGCAUUCUACAAUUUUUUUUUUUAAAAAAAACAAGAAUGUAUAUAAGACUAAGCAAAUAUUUAAAACGUUAAUUACGGUAUAUUUUUAUGAGACAUGUUCUUAAUUAUCAUACUUCACUUUCAAAGCGGUUUAAUAUAUAUAUAGAGCAAGCAGUAUUAACGGGCACUUAGCACAACAAUUUUGUGACAAUAAAUUAAGUGUUGUAUAUAUCAACUGUGGACUAAUUAAUAAUGUGAAAUCAUGAGAAGUUUUAUGUAUAUAUAUAUCUAUAUACUUUACCUCUCUAGCAGAAGCGGGAGCAAAGGUUAUCAUGUGCGCCAGGGACGGAAUUAUGUACACAGUGAAGCUCACAAGCAGCGAUCCGACGGUCGAAUUGAUCGGGCCGAAGAAGGGGAACACGAUCGCGAGGAACCAAAUCGGGAUCACCACCGGCAGCCUCGCGAUCGCCCUCUUGACGAUGCUCUUCGUCUCGUGCAUGCCGAUGACCUUCUCCCACACAAAGUAGAGCGGCGUGCACGCAAAUCCAAAUGUUAUGAACUGCAAACAUACACACAUGUAUAUACAUUCACACACAUGAAUUAAUCAGGAUGAAGUAGUUAGUUCUACGGCACGGAAAAAUAACAAUUUGAAUUAAGAGGGUUACGUGUGCAAGUUGCACUACUUAAAACUACCUGAUGAAUGAGCAUGAGUAUAACUGCAGUGUCUCUGAACCCAGAUUUUGGGAGUAAAGCGAAGGCAUUUGAGUGAUUUAGAAGCAUGUCUCCAAAAGCCCAGUACAUUGAAGCAGCUGAGGGUAGUGUGAGUGUCAGCACAUACGAAGUUGCAAAGAGGUACACAAGCUUGAACUUCUGCGGCUUCCACAUCGCAUGCAUGAUCUCUCUGCAAACCACAAAAUUUUAGAAAUGUAGACUGUAACGCCUCAAUAGUUUCAUAUUGGAUAAAAAAAUAAUUCUUAUUAGAAUAUACCAGACUUCGGAUACUUAUAAUAAUAACUAGGCUUAAGCAUUUUGGACCAGUGUUUUGGGCCCAAUGAAUUAUUGUUGCUAGCGGGUCAAAUCGUUAUAAUAAUUAGUAUCAGAGCCGAAUAUCAGCCGAAAGUUUUAUGCGGGACAAAAUGCUAGACUAUAGGUUUGGUGGGAGCCACCUCUUCGCGGAUAUUUCUAAUCUAUAUGAAUUUGGACAAUCUGUAUAAUAACUAUACUUAAAUAUUUUGAACUGGUAGUUAAGAUCCAACGAGUUAUUAUUGCUAGUAGGUCGGAUCCUUGCAUAAACCAAAAGAGGCUAAGGUUUAGACAAAAAGCAGCAGAGGGCCAAGACCAUGAUGUUCACUGCAGGUGGACAGAAUAUUUCCUGAUAAUUGUUUGAUUUAAUCAUUAAAUUAAACAUAUCAGGGUAUCUUACACUGUAACAGCAUGGCCUCCAAAGGUGUAGAGUAUGUUUGUAGCUCCAGUGAAGUACAGGACCAUCUUGGCUGGACCUGAGUGCUUAACACCUUCCACCUUCAUGUAUAAAAAAAUAAGAACAUUAAUUAGUAAUUAAUUAAGCUAUUUUUUGUUCAUUAAUUAAGGUUAAACUAUUAUUAUUGAAAAUUUACCUGGCCAUUAAGUAAGGCUGCAAUGGUGAGAUACCAUGCAGUAUAGCUAGUCAUUAACAGGCCCAGGAAGGACCAGAUCCUGUAGUUGUGGAAGGAGGGGAUGAAAACAGUGGUGGCACAACAUGCCCCAAAGAUGUAUGUCCAUGUCCUCUUGUCUAGGUUAUCAUUUAUGUAAUAGAUAUUGCUGCAUAGAGAGGGGACAAGUUGAAUAUUUCUCUUUUGCUCCUUUUUUUAUUUUUAUAUUGAAUAUAUAUAUAAAGAUCACGAGGGUUUAAAGAGUGUGAAGAGAACAGAGUUUAAUUGUAGUAAUUAGUUAUUGAUCACCUUGCGCAUGCAAUGAGUUGGAUUACUGAUCCAAAGAGAAGGAAAGUGCAGUUGAAGAAUAGACCAAUGUUCCUCCAGUGCUUCCCCAGCAGCCCAUCAAGAACUUCAAACCACUGAGAAGGACCACAAAAAAUGUCACCCAAAAAGAAAAAGGAAAAAUGUAUAAAUUUAAAAAGAAACAGAAAAAUAUUGUGUUGUAUUUAUAUAUAUAUAUAGUAUAGUAGCCGGACUCAUAUAGAAUUAUGUUACUAUACUAUCAAUAGUACCAAGCCCUUGUUACUAUUGAGUUUUCGGCCGUUGGAUGAAAGGAUGUGUGGUUAGGAUAAUAGUGGUUCCCGGUUAAAUUGAUAGUGGUCCCCUAGGGUUGAGUGGGUGGUUGGUUUAAUAAUAUAAUCUAACGGGUGGAAAUGAUUAAAAGGUAGAUCUAACGGUAGAAAACUCAAUAGUACCAAGAACUUGCUACUAUCGAUAGUAUAGUAGCCGGACUCUAUAUAUAUAUAUAUAUAUAUAUAUAUAUAUAUAUAUAUGGGUUUCAUACUUUCAUGUAUGUAUUUAUAUAUGUCUAAUGGUGUAUGGUACAUAUGAUGAUUCCUUUAUCCAAGAGGUACUUUUCCUUUGACCCCCUAAUUUGCCUUUAUUCAUACGUUUGCCUUUUCCUUAUAAAUUAUUUAAAACAGUGAACAUGGAGGAGGGGGCUUUCUCCCAAAAGAUGGAUGAGAAUAUAUAUUGCUAUUCUUGAACUAUACAUAUAUAUAUAUAUAUAUAUAUAUAUAUAUAUAUAUAUAUAUAUAUAUAACGUCUUCUAUACUUUCGAAAGUAUGGAGACCUCCGUACUUAAAAGUUAUUUUUAAUGAUAGGACAUCCGAUUCGACCAUUGGCUCCGUUAAGUAUAAUCUACCCUAUUGAAACUAUCUAGAAACUAAAUUUUAUAAUUUUUUGAUAUCAUUUAUCAAGCGAUCAAAAGAUCUUAAAAAUAAUUAUUGUAAUGGUCGAUACGGCAUAUUUUUAAGUUCAACGGCAUAUAAGUAUCUAAAUUACAUAAAAAAUUAAUAAAAAAUUUUACUUAACAUCGGUAGCAAGUUCAAUACUUUCGAUUUAAAAUUUGAAUCCUUUAUCACUACUUUUUAUGAGAUUUUUAUUUUCAGCCGUUCAUUUUGAGGCUACUCGUUCACUAAACAAACGAAGUAACAAAAUUAUGAAAUUUGGUUUCUAGAUAGUUCCAAUAGUGUAGAUCAAGUUUAACAAAACAAAUCGUUGAAUCGGAUGUCCCAUCAUCAAAAAUAAUUUAUAAGUAGAGAGACCUCCGUACUUUGAAAAACAUAGAAGCCUAUAUAUAUAUAUAUAUAUAUAGUAGAGCUAGAAUACUUAUAAAAGUAUCAUGGGGAUAAUACUUGUGUGUUUUUAGCCCUUGGAUGGAGAGAUGUGAGGUUGAGAUGAUGGUGGAAUGUGGUGGUAGGUGGAAUAGUGUUUGAUCCAAGGGCCAUUAAUAAUCAAAAAGUAAAUUCAAUGGCUAAAAACCUGAUAGCACUAUGGAGGUGAUACUUGUAAAAGUAUCAUAGAUCAACUCUAUAUAUAUAUAUAUAUAUAUAUAUAUAUAUAUAUCUUCAAUCUCUUACCCAUAAAAGAAUAUUGCCUUUUUUGAAAACUGAACCAUAUAACUAAAAGACUACUUUUGGUAAAAUCAAACUUAACAUUAAUUAUAAGGUAACUAACUGUAGGCAAAAAAUGCAACAGCACAACUACAGGAAUUAGAACCAUCAUAUAUAUAUAUAAAACUAAGCAAGCUUUUAAUUAUUUGUGUACCUGAAUAACAUGGUUUCUGAAAUCCACCUUCUCCCUCUCUUUUCUAGUCCUGUAUUCCACAUAGAGCACACUGAUAAGAUAAGCAGUCCAACUCCCCAUCAGCCCAUAGAACAGCUGAAAAAGCACUCCUGAGACCAUCCCCAGCUGAGAGAAUGAGUAUGGCAGUGUGAGAAGCACUUGAGCCACCUACAUGUACAAAACCACGCCACCACCACCACCACCACCACUAUUUAAACCUCAAUGAAUCUAUACAUAUGAUUCUAGAGAUAGGGAAAAAAAAAGAAGAGAGCGAGCACUAAUUAUUAAUUAAUGCGUGAAUUAGUGUGUGAGUGUGUGUGUAUAUAUAUAUGUUUAUACCUGGUUAGAAGCACAGCUGAACCAUGCAUCAUAAACUGAGCCACCAUGCCAAAAGUACCUUGAUAUCUUGCUCUUUGAGCUUGUUUCUUCUCCUUCCCUUUCCAUCUCUAUGUAGUUCCCCGCGACGAUCGUCUCGACCUUCUCCGACGCCAUCCCUCUCCUCCUCUCUCUCUCUCUCUCUCUCUCUCUCUCUCUCUCUCUAUCUUAUGUGUUGUGCUCUUAAGUUUGUAGGAGAGCUUUGGACUUCGGUGGUUAUAAAGAAACCCAGUGCCCAAUGUAUCCUUCUCUUCUACUCCUGUUCUACUCUCUCUCUCUCUCUCUUUGUAGUCGCUCUCUCUCUCUCUCUCUCUCUCUAUCUCUUAGGAAAGUAGAGGUUGGGACCAAGGCCUAUUAGAGAGGCAGUACACGAGCGGCCUGGCCCACCAUUGGCUUUUCGGAAAGAAGCCCAUAUAUAUAUAUAUAUAUAUAUAUAUAUAUAUAUAUAUAUAUAUAUAUAUAUAUAUAUAUAUGUUAUAGUUAUAUAUAGUAGUAUGUAUACUUAUAUAUAUAUAAUUUUAUAGAACAUAUAUCGUAGUAAACGAGCCAUUUUACUACUGAUUUAUUUUCGAUGAUGAACUUUCAAAUUGACGAUCCGCUUCGUUGAACAUGAUCUAUACCACUUGAAGUGUUUGAAUCAAAUUUCAAAUCUUUUCGACAUAAUUUGUCUAAUGAUGAAAGGGUUUAAAAUUUGUAAUUUAGCGAAGGGUCAGUAUAAGGAGGCAUUUUUCGUUUAUCGAUCGUCUAGAAAAUUCUUUAAACUAUUUAAAACAAGAUCUAUACUCUUGAUCUUGAUUACAAGACUCCUAUCAUCAUUUUUUAAAGAGUAUUCAUUUUCAGCCAUUCAUUUUUCUGUUCACUUGAUGGAUAAAACAACAAUAUCGAAAGUGCGUGAAAUUUGAUUUCUAGGUAGUUUAAAUGGUUUAGAUCAUAUUUAACGGAGCCGAUCGUCAAUUUGGAAGCUCUAUUAUCGAAAACAAAUCGGUAGUAAAACGGCUCGUUUACUACCAAGAGUAUUCUAGCUCAACUCUAUAUAUAUAUAUGAUUGAGCUCUUAUGCUUUUAAAAAUAUUAAGUCAUUAGUAUUUAUAGAUUAGAAUGAUAGCGAUUUUCUAAAAUUGAAUAGAUGAUUAGUGGUAUAACAUAAACUAAAAGAUGGAAUUGGUCAAAGGAAUAGAUAUAACAGUGAAAAACUUUUAAACAUCAAGUAAUUAGUGCUUUUGAGAAUGCUAUAUAGCCUGACUAUCUCUCUCUCUCUCUAUUUAUAUAUAGUUAGAGUGAUAUAUGGGCCAAUAGGAUUGAACUCUUUUAGUUUUAGAUACGUAUAUAUAAUAUACACAUCAUGUCUCUCUACAAUAUUGUAGGAGAAAAUAUGAAUGGGAUUUGAUUACAACUCAACCUAUAUUAUAUGUCAUGUGCCCUGUGUGCAUCUACAUGACACAUCUACAAUGCUGCUGACUGGUGUGUGUGACCAAUAGCUGACCAUCUGAUCAUCGGCCAAGGGUGCGUGAUCAAAAGUGGGUCAUUUUAUCCCCACAGAAAGAAAAAGAGAACAUUUGAUAAUAUAUAUAUAUAUAUAUAUAUAUAUAUAUAUAUAUAUAUAUAUAUAUAUAGGUUAUAAUUCAGGCUAGUUUUAACAUCUCUUCCUAGCUACGUGCGUACGUACAUAACAGAGAUUAAACUAAUUAUGCUAUAAUAAAAAGAAAUUAUAGACACAAGAAUUGAUUAUGACCACUCGAAGUUGAGAAAAUUAACUUGGAAAAUUUUAAUUCAGAGAGAUCAAGCAAACAAGAAUUUAAUCAUUAAAUAACUGGUGUGAUAAUUAACCCUCCUCCUCUCCUUGCAACUUAUUAUAGGGAUUCAGAGGGAGAGAGAGAGAAUGCCUUUGAAUAAACAAUAAAUAAUUAAAGAGAUGGGGGGUGAAUGAUUACAAAGGAGAUGGGGGGAUGGUGCUUCACAUGAUUGUGGCACACGUGUGACAACUGGCUUUUUCCAUUAGAUUAAUAUUUAAUUAGCUGUGGAGGGAAACAAGGGGUGCUUCUCUCCAUGUUGAUUUGCAGUGUCAAGCUAUGAUUAGGGAGGGUCUACAAGGAAGCAAUUAACUCAUCCUCUUUUGUUUUUCUUUUUAAGAAUAACAUUUUUUUAAUAUAUAUAUUAUGUAUAUAAGAAUACAUGCACAACUUUAUAUACUUAUAUAAAGUAUUCAUGGAAUAAAGAGUGAGUUUAAUUAAUUAAUUAGUAACCUUACAUUUGGAUAAGGGCCCUAAUUAAACUUAAAACUUGGUGGGUGGUUAGGUUGAUGAUGAUGAUGAUUAUGGUAGUUAAUUGAGCCCCUUCUCUUUCUCUCUCUCUCUCUCUCUCUCACACAGAGAGAGAGAGAGAGAGAGAGAGAGAGAGAGAGAGAGAGAGAGAGAGAGAGAGUAAGGAUAAAUUUAGUGAUCAGUAAAUAGUGUAGGGGCCCUAUCAAAUUUAUGAUACUUUGCUAAUUAAUUGUUCAUUUGUAGCAUGAUGAAUUAUUCAUAGAAAGCAUGUCUCAUAAGAAAAAAAUAAGUAAGAUUAAACUAUGUGCUGGACAUAUACCUUUCCUUUAGAAGCUACAAAUUUAUACCCUCUUUUGGUAAUUAUAUUAGGUGACAUCUUCAAUCUAAUAAACAAAAUAAUAUAUAUAUAAUUUUUACUCGUUAAAAAAUACAUUAAAAUAUUAAACAAAAUUCGAAUAUUACAUAUAAAAGCAAGUAUUAGCAUUUAUUGAGCAUAAGUUGUACAGAAUUAAAGUAGACAUAUUGGAUGAUGCUAUCAUCACCUUAAUUAAAAAAGCUCCCAAUAUAAAUAAUUAUUUUAUCAUUUUUAAUCUAUAAAAGAGGAGUUGCGAUCUCUUUAUCAUGACCACUCUUCUUCUCCCUUUUUUUUUUUUUUUUUUUUUUUUNGUGUAUAUAUAUAGGGUCGGUGUAUUAAUAAAACUGGUGUAUACCCCUUUUACUUCAGUUUUUUUUUUUUUUUUUUUUUCGCCUCCGCGGGUUUUGCAUCCUUUUGGGACCAUGCAUGCAUGGUUAGGUCUUUCCGACCAUGCAUCUUUUAGGUGAUAUAUAUUUUUUUUUUAUUUGAUCCUUAUAGAGAUGAAAAGUUUGUGAUGCUAAUUUUUAUGAUCUCAUAAAGAUGAAAAGUUUUCACAAUUAGAGUUAGCAUGUCCAUUGUUGAAAGAGCCAUAGCACCUUAUUCUCACUUUAGCUUCCGCAAGUUUUAAUUAUGUGACAGGUGGAAAUAUUGACCACUAAUUAGAUUGCGAUGACCCUAGAGAAGGUUCGGUCUAGAAAUUUGGAGAACGACGUGAGAUGCACGUGGAAUAUGUUCGCAACCUAUUCGAAUAAGAUUGACUAAUCUGAUAGCUUGCUGGUAGGUCCUCUUUGAUUGAAGGAAUAGUACUUUUUUAUAAAUGCUUAUAAAGAUUCUAUGAUGAUGGUAGCUAAAAUCAGGACAUUGAGAAUCCAAUGGGAGAUUAUUCUAUCAUCUAAAAACCAACGUUUUUUGUUUUUCUUUUUUGCCAAGAUUUUUUUUAUCUCACCUCGUAUUGCUUAAUUCAUAUUUUUAAUGAAUAAAGCAGAUAGCAUGCUAUCUUUUCCUCAAAAAAAAAAAAAUGUGAAUGAGUAGUCACAAGAAUAGGUACAUCAUCUUCAGGGAAAUUAAAAAGAAAAAAUCUUUACCAAAAAAAUAUAGUCCACAUGUAAUCCAAAUAGGAACCAGUUUUUGUUGACAUUUUAACUCGGGCUUAAUUCAAAAAAUUCUGUAACUAAGUUCUCUUCCAAUAAUAGCCAAAAAAGUGAUUUAUUAAGCAGAAAAAAAAAUAUAAAAUAAAAAGGAAUCACAAGAGAAAAGAGAAAAAAAAAACCUAUGUGAAUUUAAGAAAAAAAAAAAUUUUGAUGGUCUCGUGCAUGGCGCGAGCUUCAUGGGCUAAAUAUAAAUAGGUCCAUAAAAAUUAUGGCCCAUAAACACUUAACGUCGGGACACGCAUUAAUGGGCUUUUAUAACAUCUAGCCCAUGAUAAAUUUGAGGCUCGUAGCACAUCGGGCCCAUCUUAUUAGUAUCUUUAAAUAUUGCCCAAUACCCUCGGAAUAAAUUAGAAGUUCUAAAAAUUCAGUAAAAAUAACCAAAUGUGACAUGGCAAUCUUAGUUAUAAUAAUUAAUAUUAUUUGUAAUAAUUAAAAAAAAAUUAAAUUAUUGUGAAAAGAGAUAAAAAUUGGAGAAAGAUUGGGGUAUGCGAUUAGUAUAUCUCCACCUUAUAGUUAUAUCAAAUAUUAUUAUUAUUAAAAAGUAUAUAAAAAGUAUAUAAAAAUAAGAAGAAAUUUGAGCAUACAAUCAAUAUAUUAAUUUAUAGCUAUAUUUAAUAUACUUAUUUUAUUUUUUAAAAUUAUUGUCUCUAUAAAUACUUAGUUUUUAUUUUUUUAGACCUUCAUAAAGUAAUUCUUAGUUUUAGUGAUGUUCAUGUGCAACGUAUGGGAUAGGAACUAACUAGAGAGUUGAGUUUAAAUCAAAUUUUGAUUGAAAUAAAUAAUUUAUUCAGAAUUAAAUAAAUAUAAUAAUUGCGAUAUUUAUAGAUGUUUUUCAGAUUUUUUUUUUCCCUUUCGAAAAAGGAACAGAAAUAUUAAUGGCUCGAAAUCCGACUCACGCGAAAAGCUGCUGAAUAGCGAAGGCUCUUUCGAGAUCGCCAUUUCUCUCUCUCUCUCUCUCUCUCUCUCUCUCUCUCAACGCGCGCACACGAUUCCACGAUCGGGAGAGGUAAGCUGUUGAUUUUUCUCUCAUUUUUGGCUUUGAUCUCGCAGUGUUAGUGCAAUUUGAUCUCGAAUAGCUUCUUAAUUAAGCCGAAGUGUUCGUAAUCGGGGGUUUCAGGAGUUAAUUUUUUUUGUGGGAGAUAUUAUCUAGUUUUUUGACAAUGUUCGAUCAUCUACAUGCUCAUCUCUUUUGAAUUUGUUGCAAAAUCGAAAUUUAUGCCUCUUUUGUGCUUCAUUAUCACUGAUUGAUUGGGUGAGCUGUGCGAGGUUAUUUAGGUUUCAAGAACGUUUUUACUUGUGAAUCUUUAAACAUGACACCUAAGGAAUUAUUUGGUACUAUUUUUUGCUUUAUUUGCUCUGAAGAGAGUUUAGUGACAUGUGAAAAUUGCAUAUUUACCCUUGCAUGAUUGUAGAAUUGCGGGAAUACUAGUGAAAAGUUGGUAUUUGAAUGCGGUUCUUGAUAAUUGAUAAUAUUGAUCAUCUGAGCAUGUGCCCUGUUAGGGACAUACACGCGAAAAUGUAUUUGCAUAUAUGCCUUGCAUUUUGGAUACAUGUUGGUUAUAUGCCUCUGUUUUUUUUUUGCAUUAAUGUUUUUGCAUACAUGCACCUGUUUUUUGUUUGAAUGUUUUUGCACAUAUGCCCAACUGGAAAGUUGGUAUUCAGUUUCGUGAAAAUAAUCUACUAUUCUUUCUUUUCUAGAAUUGCAUGUUAAAUGUCUUGAUCUAAUAAAUAGCAUAACAAUUGAAUUGAGGCAACAGAAUAGGAGAAGAGAAAGAUUUGUACAAUUUAUACUAUAUCAUCUCUUUGGAAAAAAAUUGGUAGUAAUGGACAUGUUAGAUAGCUCGGGCUCGAUUGUGAAAUGUUCUCUCUAUUUCAAAAAGUUUUAUCAUUGCUAUUUACAUUUGAAUUGGUGUCUUCUUUUCUUUCUUUGACAUUUGAUCCAUGAGAUGCUUUUCUCUGACCGACUCUAUCAGCAAUAAUACCGUAGUGGUGGUAAAUUGUACUAGGAUGAAUCAUGUGUUUUUUUUUUUUUGUGAAAUAUUCUAGUGAAAAUAACUGAAUAGUAACAAAAUAACUGAAUAAAAGAAACAUAAAACAUAGGAAGCAAAGUCAAUCAAAGAUUUUCUGACCAUAGUAACCAAAAUCGAUCAGUCCUCUUUGGAUAGCAUCCAUAGUCAUGGUUUGCUUUGCUGGAAAGGAAAGAUGAUAGUUCUUCUUUGUAUUCUUUUCCUGUGGAUCUUCUCUCCAAGUUUUCCAACAAAAAAAUUACAGGCUAACAUGGCACAAGCUGAUGAAGAGGACCAGAAAGAAAAAGCCAGGAAAGAUUACGCCGAUUUCUUGGAGAAGGUGAAAAAGACAGUGUUCAUCGACAACAUCUCACCCAAAGCCACAACUUCAGUAGUAGAAUCAGGACUGCAGCAAUUUGGAAAUGUUGUUAAUGUGGAGUUUAUGCCGAACUACAUGAUUCCUUAUAAUAUCCCACAAUGCGCUUUAGUGGAAAUGGAGGAUCAGAAACAGGCUCUUAAAGCAAUUGAUGCCAUGACUAACUAUCCAUUCAUGAUGGGGGGAAUGCCGAGGCCUGUCAGGGUGACGGCCGCGAAGGUGGAGAUGUUCUGUGAUCGUCCUGCGCCGCCUGAUAGAAGGAAGAUUAGAUUUCGUUGGAUGCAGCCAACAGAUCCCCACUUCCAUGCGAUGAAGAAGUUUAGGUGGCUUGCCAGGAGGCAUACUGCUGAAUCUUUAGCUAUGAUUAAGGUAACUCGCUCUAUUGUUAAUUCAUUCCACACAUUGAAUUUGCAUUAUUUUUCUUUAACUGUGUUCCAGCCUUCUUUUUUUGGACUCGUAGAACUUCUUUCUAGCAUAAUUACUUCAUUUUGGGUCUAUUAAAAACUUUUGCAGCACCUACUGGCAAGCGAUGAGGAGCUUGCGAAGCAGCAGAAGAAGAUGCUCGAGGCCAACUACGAGAAGCUUGACUUGACGGAGAAGCACAAAAGAUCUUUGCGCCGCUUGACACAACUAUACGGCAUCGAUGUAGAUGAAGAGUAGGCGCUUUUUCAGUUCAUUGUAUAGUCGGCUGCUGACGCCGUAACUGGUCUGCGUUGAAUGUAGAUAAUCCAGCAAGUGGUCUUUUGUGGAUCUUGGACCUAGAGGUGCUGUUUGAACCCUCUUGUCUCACUGUUAGUUAUGUUGCAGAAGAUUGUGAACUAAAUCAGUGGGUGUAUCUGAGAUAAGUACUCCACAGAAUCACAGCUUCCCACGACUGGUAAGUGGUAAUCCCAUUCAACUGCUCUCCCAAUUUUUGUUGUGUGGUAGUGUGGGAAAAGUAAUUUCUUGGGGAUCAUAGUUGUUGAAAUUUUAUUUCCAUGAAAAAGUUGGUAUCUUUAUUGUCACAGUUCUUCCUUGUGUAGCAACUUUUACAAUUUGUCUUUUCUGUUUCUUUUUGUUUUAAAGAGAAUGGUAGCAUAUGCUAUUCAUUUCGUUUAUUUUUUAAAUGAUAAAUUUAAUUAAAAUUUUAAAUCAACUAGACUUUGAAUUUAGAACUUCGGGCGCCAAUCAUUAAAUUUUUUACUACUUGAACGAGAGAUGGUAGGUACCUACCAGCAUAUACAAUUUGUCCUAAAAAAAAAAAUUGUUUGUGAAUAGUUUAACUUGGUCCUUAAUUUUUUAAAUUGAACAUUUGACAUUUCAAACUUAUCGCAGAGUAGGUAAGGUGUUGAUUCUUUCCUCUAUUACGAAGCCGAAGAUUCAUGAUGCGUCCAGAAUCUCAUCCUCCCCCUCGUAUAUCGGAAUUUUCACGAGUGAUUGUUCGGGUUCUGGAAGAAUCUAUCAGAAUGCUGUGAAGGUAGCACCGCGAAAUAUUUGUUGAUCUUGCAAGAUAGACCGGUUCAUCAUCUGUGUUUUGUACUGCUUUGUAAAUGGUUAGGCGCCAGGAACACAGACACCAGUGCGCGUCCAAAGAGCGUUCAUAUCGAACACAUGUCGGAUACGAACAGGCAAGUGUCCGAUACGAACACGUGAGACUGAUGAAAGUGUCCGUAAUACAUAAGUAAAUUGUAAGGGACCAAUAAAUUUAGGGCGUGUUUGAUUCGCUUUUUUUUCAUCCUGGAAUCGGAAUUGGAAUGGGCGAAUUCGUUUGUGGGUGUUCGGUACACGGGAGUUCCAUUCCGAUUCUAAUUUCCGAGUGGAAUGGGAAUUUUCCAAUCACCUCUUUUUUCAAUCUGAUCUAGGAGGCCGGAUUGGAAGUUGAAUCCGGACGGAAUGGAUAUUUAUUUGGAUUAAAUUUAUUAUUUCAACUUUUUUAAUUAAAAUAUGAAUUUAAAUUUAGAGAUUAAAUUUUAAAUUUUAAAUUUUAAUUUCAACUUGAAUUAAAAAUUAAAAUUUAAUCAAGUAUUUCGAAUUUAACUUACGAAUUUGAAUUUAAAUUAAAUUUUAAUUUAUAUAAAGUUUUAUUCAAAUUUUAUUUAAAACUUAAAUUAAAUUAAUGGAUUAAAAUUAAAAUUUAAAUUGUAAUUUUAAGUUUGAAUUUGAAUAAAUUGAAAUUUAAUUUAUAUUUUGAAUUAUCCACUCAACUUUAAAGUUUAAUUUUUAAAAAAAAAUAGAUUUAAAAUUUUGACAUUAUUUCAAAAUUUUGAUGUAAAUUUUUAAUUUUAAUUUUUAAUUUGAAUUUAAAUUAAUAUAUUAUAAAGAUAAAAUUAGUAUAUUGAUCUGAUUACGUUUUUUAUAUUUACCUAAACCAAACAUCGAUAAUGGAAAUAAUUUUUUCCGAUUCCGAUUCAGGUGAUGAGCCAAACAAAAUUAGAUAAUGAGUCAUUCUAAUUCUAAUUCAAGUUUAUUUCGAUUCCAAUUCUGAUUUCGAUUCCGACUUCGAACCAAACACGCUGUUAAUCUUCUAUUGCAUUUCAUUAUUGUUGAAAUAGAUGGUAUUUUGCAGGAGAGGAGAAAAAAAAAAAGAAAAAGGAAAAAAAAAAAAGGCGUAUAUACUCUUAACCCGCAUCCGCACCCGCACCCGCACCCGAUAAGGAGGGAGGAGGAACCGUCCCGACGCUGUGGGCUUUUUCUUUUUGGAAUUUUAUAUUUUAUAACCAGCUACCCGUUACACAUUAAUAAACGUUUCUUCGUCCCCCUCCUCGGGGCCGUAAAUUAAAGGCCCCUCCGACGCGCGGAAAACUCACCGGCGGUGGGCCGAUCCUCCCUUUUUUUUUUUUUGUCUCCUCCUCCGCCAUCAAUCCCCCACCCCCCCGGACGAUGCCGACCACCACCACCACGGGUCGCCUCCCCGUCGUCGUCGUCCUCCCCCUUUCCUCCGCGGCGGCACCCCCGGACUCCUCCUCCUCCAACCCCACCACCACCACCACCGCCACCCUCUCUCACCUCCCUCAACCCCAUGCAGACGUGGUGGGAAUCCCUCUCCAAGGCCCGAUCCGCGCAUCCUCGCUCUCUCCUCCCUCUCCCCCUCCCCGCCAUCUCCUCCUCGCCGACUCCGACCGCCCGCGCGCUCCUCCUCUCCUCCGCCGCCGCCUACUCCGCCGUCUCCGCCGCCCUCUCCUCCCCUCCUCCGGCUCCGGCGAGACCCCUCUGCCAGUGGCUCUACGACACUUCCUCUCCUCCGACCCCCGACCUCCGCCUCGUCGUCCUCUCCUUCCUCCCCCUCCUUCUCCUCCGCUCUAACCUUCGCUCGCCCGCCUCCCCUCCGCCCCCUCCCUCGCCGGCUUCGAGGCCGUCCUCCUCGCCCUCUACUCCUCCGAGGUCAAGUCCCGCUCCGGCAAGCCCCUCCUCGUCUCCGUCCCCGACCUCUCCCUCCCCUCCCUCUACCACUCCCCUCGCCCCCCCUCCAACCCCCGCUCCCCGCGCAGCACCCCCUCGCCGCCCCCCCAGCGCCAGCCCUCCGUCGGGGUCCUCUGCCCCCCGCUCGAGCCGCAGAUCGCCGUCAAAUCCACCAAGCGCGCCUUCAUCCUCGCCGUCGCCUUCGACGUCUACUACCGCAGCGUCGCUCUCAUGCCCGCCUCCUCCAAGGUGGAUCUGUGCGACGCCGUCGCCGCCUGGGCGGGCCAGAACUGCUCCUGCCGACGAGGACGACGACGGCGCGAUCGGGAGCGCGGCCGGAGAGAUCGGGAGGUUAGGGCUCACCGCCGAUGCGGCGAACGGGCACCACUGCAACGGAGGGGAGGACGACGAAGCGAGCAAGGGCUCGAGGAGAGGGGCUAGGGUUCCGCUGCCGUGGGAGCUCCUCCAGCCGCUGCUUAGAAUCCUAGGGCAUUCCCUUCUCGCUCCGUUGAACCCUAAGGAGGUGAGGGAUGCGGCUUCCGCGGCAGUUCGGUGCGUCUACGCUAGGGCUUCGCACGAUCUUCUCCCUCAGGCGAUCCUGGCCGCGCGCAGCUUGAUCCAGCUGGAUAAGGGCGCACGGAAGGUGGCUAGGGCUUCGGCGGCGGCCCAGCAUUGGCUCGGACCCCAACACGCCCAGCAAGCCAAAGAAGCCGGAGAUUCUCCUGGUCUCGAAGUGAACCUUGGGGUUUGUACUGCGACUUACUUAUUGAGAGUUCUAUCUUUGUUCUUCGUCGUGUGCCAUUACUUUGCUCUGCACUUGCUUUGUAUUAAGCACUAUGAUUGUUGCCUGUGGUAGGAGUAGAGAGGGUGAAAAGCAUUUUAUGGAGUGUUUUCAUUGGAAAAUCCUGCUAACUAAUGCGAUGUGCUUAUGUCUUAUGUAGUUUGUAUGAUUAUAUCCGCAUUCUGUCGGUGAAUAUACGUUUGCAUUGCUUAAGAAAGUUAUACGAUGUUGUCUGUAUUUAGGGACUCCAUUGGACGAUCGCACUGUUUAUGCUUUAUAAUUUUAGUUUGCUCACAGUAGAGAUUAUGAUUUUUCCUUUUUUUAACCCCUUCAACCUUAUUUCCGGUAACUUGUUACACAGGGUUGACCAUGAUUUACCUACUUAACCGGGACAUCUGUUGAAUUCCUGUAUUGUAUGCUUAUGUGUAAUCUUCUGUACUGUAGGUAAAAAUGAAAAAGCAUUCCAUAUUUCUGUAACUACCUUCUUCUAGGUUUAUAUUGCACAAUGAUAUAUCUUGGUCAUUCAAGAAGAAGCAUUCGCAGUGGCAAAUAUUAGGGUUUAAUUGCAUCUAAAUCGAUGAACGUGCUGUUAUUGUUCGUAAGCGGACAAAAUUAGGGACUUUGCUUGGGCACUGUGAAGACUGUGAAGGAGGGUGGGAGAAAUGUUCAGUCGUGCUGUUCAGAGCAUAGGAAAAUAGAGAGAGCUUUUACUAGAGUGUUAGUGGCCUUGUGUCAAAGGGCAAUCUUGUGCCUGUUCUUAGAAGUUUGAUAGCUUGAGAUUCAUGUUUAUGUCUUGUUCUACAGAACUGAACUGAAUUACAAGUAACAAGCUGACUAAUAUGUAGUUUUUGAUGAUGUAAAAUUACUGUUCUCAAAAGCUUUGAAGGAGUAUAUUUUUGGAGUUAAUUCUUUUUUGAGCUUCUUUUCUCUUUAUUGAAGGCCCUGUAAUGUUCUGUCUCUUAACACCUAUGUGGGAUCGGUUAAAUGAUCAAAACUGUUGGCUUAGCCUGGAGUAUAAUCUAGGUGGUGUGUUUGGGUGAUACAAGUAGCAUUGCCUCUUAACCUCUCGUAUUGUUAUAUGCUGAAACUAGCCACUGUGUUUGGUAGGAAGUUGCACAGAUUGACUAGAAUUGAUUGAAAACUUUCAAGUGGUCCAUGAAUCAAAAGGCCGUACUUAUAAGCUUUUCUGCUCUAGGAGAGUUGCAAAAAGAUGUUACUUGACAUACUGCAAUUGCUUAUGCCAACGGCAAGGUCAUGAUGCAUUCUGUGAACAUAUGCGAAGUUGUUUUGCCCGAAAGCAUGCACGCAUGUGCAAUGAAAUCAAGUUGCCCCACUUUGGUAUUCUUGAAAUUCUUGCAACAACUGCAGCAUAAACUGAGCAUGGACCUUAACUUCUUUUUUCAGUUUUUGACAAGCUUCAAACUGGUUUAUCUUCCAGUUCAAUAGUGAUGGGCUCCUUGUCUCCAUACUGGAAACUAGGAAUGAGUUACUAUAGUUCUGUAAUUUAACUUGCAAUUUGAUUAUCAGUUUAAUUGCUCAAUGGCUUGUUCCUCUUCAUAAUGCUUUUCAAAUGAACCCAGCUUCGUUUUGUGCUUAGUUUCCUUUAGGGUUUAAGGUUUGAGGUUCAAUGAAGACUGAGUCGAGCAUAUGGCUUGCUGUACUUGGUAUGCUAUCUCCUUGCGAAAUCUUUUCUUUUCCUACUUUGAUAUUUUAACUUUUGAUGUUCUGCUUCUGUACAAUAUAGGCUGGUGGAUAAUUUUGAAAUGCUCUCUGAUUUGAUUGAUGCCUUGUGAUUUAGGAAGUUUUCAUUGUUUUUAUGUGCUGAUAAAUUUCUAACAUCGUACAUUUGGUAACUCAUUUUAGAGACUAAAGAGAUUUAACUGGGAUGUUCUUCGCAUCUGUUCGUCUUGUGUGUGGUAUGAAUGUUGAGAGAGUCAAUCUGAUCAGUUGUUUCCCUUGUCGCACCCGCCUCAGUGCCUGCCCAAAUUCGGAGCUUUACUGGGCGUGUUUAGGCUUAUUCUUCGAGGCCAGAGGAUGGGGGAAAAAACAACUCAUUAUAUUGAAUUGCUGAGGCACGGAUAAAUUUUCACCGUCCUUAUCUUUUGCUUACGACAAAUCAUUUCUAGGAACUCUCAUGUAAUUGUGCUGAAUCAUAUGCUGAGUAAUUUUAUAAUUUUUUGAUAUUAUUUAUUUUUAUACCAUAUAGAUUUUUUUGGAGAUUAAAAAUAACAUUAUAAUAGUAAAAUUUUUAGUAUUAUAAAUAGUAUAGUAGUCACUUUCUAUAUGCGUAGGUAUUUGAGUUUCUACUUGCAUAACAUCCACAUGGCAAGGUUCCUGCUUCCACCCCCGGAUGCUUUGUUUUUCAGUAUAAAGUCAACGAAAAGAUCUUAUAAUUGAGCGCAACUGUGUUUGUUUUUUCCAACCCGCCAAAUGAUUUGACGUUUCGUUCUCGCUCGUUAUCGUGUACAUUCGGCAUCUUCACCUCCUGUUUGAACGAAAUUAUUUUGAUCUUUAAAAUAUUUUUUUUUAAAUAUGUACAUAAUAGAAUAAAUAUAUGUUGUAACAUCGAUACGUCAACAGACUCAAUGCUACAGAAGAUAAUAAUAUCAUAAGAGAUAAAUAAUAUCAUAAGGAGUUAUAAAUUGGGUAAAAGCAAUUUAUUAGCAUCUCUUUAACUAAUAUUUUGGGAACAUUUUUGUACUCUACAAAGAAUAUAAACACUAACUAGUGCAUUAUUAAUCGUCCCUAAUACAAGGGGUAAAGGAGUUGACGAAUGAUAAUCAAAAUUUUAAAUUUAAAUUCUAAUUAAUUUAUAAUUUUAGCUAAAAUUUAUUUUUAAAUAAAAUAAAUAAAAUGAAUAAUAUGCUUUUUUUUUUUUUUCUUAAAAAAAAAAAAAACUGACUCGUGACAUGAACAUUUGUGCAACCCGAGGACUUAAAUGUGGGCUCCGGUCACGUUCCGUUGCACGUCGCGAUUGUUACGUAACCUCAUCGCGGUGAGCAGAUCAAGUAACGUACGUAUAUUUAUAUAUAACUAUAAAACUGAAAAAAAUUUUAAAAAAAGGGGAGAAAAGCCCGUUCCCGGCAUCGCCACUCCCCGAGUCCCCGCCUCCCACCGCGUUCCCACGCCAUGGCCGAAGGUCUUCUCCUCCUCCCCGCUACAAGACCCCGAAACGCUCACCCCCUCCCCCCUCGACGAAGCCGACGAAACCCUAGAACUCGGAUCCAUGAAAUCCCCCACCGGAAACCUCAUGAAGACCCCGAAGUCACGAAAGGGGGCGGCGCCGCCACCUCCAGCACCGGCGGCUUCGCCGGCUCAGCCCACGCCGGCGCGGCGGAAGGGGGCGGCGAGGGAGUGGCUGGUUGUGGCCGCCGAUGGGCGCUGUUACCACGAGGAGGCCGGGAAGCAGUCGAUCAUGAAGCGCACGGGGCUGCGGCCGCGGGAUCUGAGGGUGCUCGACCCCUUGCUCUCCUACAACACAUCCAUCCUCGGGAGGGAGAGGGCCAUCGUCGUCAACCUCGACCACAUCAGGGCCAUCAUCACCGCCUCCGAGCUGCUCAUUGCCAACCCCAGGGAACCCCUCAUCGAACCCCUCGUUCAGGAUCUCCGAUCUCUGGUCUCCGCCUCCGAAAACCCUCCGCAGCAGGUAAAAUUGCUCACGGAUUCCCCUGUUUUUGCUCGGUUCUUCCUUUGUCGCCAAAUAGAGAUGAUGAGGCGAAGCUAAAAGAACAUUAUCUGUUGGUUAGAAACACGGGAUGAUGACAUGUUUUGAGUCCUAAUUGGAUACUUUGGAACGUUGCUGAAUCAUUCGUUAAAUUAUCGGUCGGAAGUAUCAUAUUCACAGAUUAUGAGUGUGUCGUUAACAUUCCGAACUAGAAUUCGUGUUGUAAUUGCUGUUGAGAACUGAGAUUGUCUCUUUUUAAAGUUGGAUUUGGGAAUCAGGGUUGAGAAAAUUGAUCUUCAAUAACUUGUAAUUGUAUUAAGCUCAUCUAAACUAGGAGCAAUGGACUCAUUCAUUGAUACCUUCAUAUGAAGGAGGUGGUGGGUAAGAAGGCUCCGUCCAGCUGGCCCUCAUUUUCUGGUAAUAGUCCGUCGGUAAAACCAAGCCCGGAAGGUUCUCCAAAAGUGACGUUGCGGACAUUGCUCUCAAUAGAUGAGAAGGGAGAGAGCAGACGGGGGCUGGAAGUAGAUUUGCCGAGAGGCAGAAGUACGAAGGUCCUCCCUUUUGAGUUUAGGGCGCUUGAAGUGUUUCUUGAAUCGGCAUGCAAGUGCCUCGAAUUGGAGGUACUUCUUCUUAUUAUGUGUAUAUGAUGUUGUCAUUCUUACUGUUCUAGACUUUUCUAUAAUGUAAUUUACAUCCUCAAAUUCUGUUUAAUUAGAUUUUGGUGCUCUGUCAACAUUUUAUGAAUUCGCACCGGUAUGGGAUCGGAGAAUUAUAUACUAUACUAUCUGUGCUUCAAAAUGAGAAAGAACUUUCUGAGCUGUGUAACUUGCUUCUCUCUGGCGACGGGAUUUGUUUUCUUUGAUUAAAGUACACUGUCAUAUUACUAGGUGAUAUACCGUAUACGUAACCGCAAGGCCUCUAAAGUUUUAAACCUUUGUCCUCUCACUGUGUGCUGAUACUAAAAUGAACCAAACUUGAACGUGCGGGCUGGGACUCUAUAUUUGGUGCCAUGUUGUUUUUAAUAGUAUUAUUCCUUUUUCUCAGAUCACUGCACUGGAGAAAGAAGCUUAUCCAGCUUUAGAUGAGUUGACUUCUAAAGUUAGCACGCUGAACCUUGAACGUGUUAGAAAAAUAAAAAGUCGGUUGGUUUCAAUAUCAGGGCGUGUUCAGAAGGUAAUAUAUCUGCAGAAAUGUUGAUUUUAUUAUUUGAGAAAAAAAAGAACUACGUAGACAUGGGUAGAUCUAAACAUCUUAGAUACUUUGCUGAAGAAGAUUUUCUAUAUAUCCAUUUCCAAACCUUCUUCCUUCCUCUAGUAUCCCGUUAGUUAUUUCUUCUCCAACUGAUAUUUCAGCACCUUUGAUAUAUUUUUGUUCCUAAUUUUAUGACGCUCACUAGGUGAGGGAUGAGCUUGAACAUCUGUUAGAUGAUGACAUGGACAUGGCUGCAAUGUACCUAACCGAGAAGCUUGCUUAUCAAGCUGCUGGUGGACUCUCAUCAAGAUUUGAUUUAGACAAAGAUCCAAUUGAGCUUGGUGAAGACGAGUACGCUGCAUACUGACAAUCUAUCAGUUCUUCCAGAUUGUUUUAUUUUUGCCAACUUUAUCUUUUAGGAUUCUGCUCAGAAUGCCAGAGAACUAUCUCUGCUGUUUUAUUCUGCUGCUAGUUUUGUGACAUAUCCAAAAGUUCAUCUGAACUUGCUUUUGUUUAGACUUUUAUGUAAUCAUCAGAUUAAUACGUCUUCUCCUUAUAUAGGGCUGAAGAUGAUGAAGAUGAGAUCGAAAGUAGUGAAGGAUAUGGUGGCGUAAAGCCUAAUGUUGAUGAGCUCGAGAUGCUGUUAGAGGCUUACUUUGUGCAGACAGAUGGCACAUUAAAUAAACUAUCCACUGUAUGCCUUCUCUACAAAACUUACUUUCUUCCUUUUUUGUGAAAUUUCUGAUAUCUGUACUAAUCCAUGCAUUUGUUUCAGUUGGCAAUAUGGAUCUGUUAUGGUAUCUUUGAAUCUAUUUCAGUAAUAUCGUCAACUCCGAGAUAUAAAUAUUUAGCUGAUUUCUCCUUUAUUAACUUAAGUAAAAUCUGAAUUUCCGUUUAAAAAGUUCACUUUUAUACAUAUAUAGCCUUCUAAUUGACAAAUGACAAAUAUCUCUUAUAAAAACUUAAUUGGCAGACUCUCGAACUUAAUUGACAAAUGACAUAUAUAGCCUUCUAAUUUCCCUCGUCAAUCGGCAGACUCUCGAACUUAAAUAAGGAGAUUUAUGUAAGAAGUUCCACUUUAGUCGGACAUACAUAAAAAUACCGAUAUAAUUGGGUAUAUAACUAAAGAGAAGUCCCAAACUAACAUUAGGUUUCUUUUUCUAUGUUGAAGCUGAGAGAGUAUGUUGACGACACGGAGGACUACAUCAAUAUUAUGCUUGACGACAAACAGAACCAGCUGCUACAGAUGGGGAUCAUGCUUAGUACGGCAACCUUAGUCACUAGCUUUGGCAUAGUGAUUGCCGGUGUGUUUGGCAUAAACAUUCACAUCCCGCUCUACGAGUCCCCCUACAUAACAUUUUGGCAAACCACUUUCGGCCUCGUAGGGGGGAGCCUCGGUUUGUAUAUAAUAGCCUUUCUAUGCUACAAAAAGAGUGGCCUGCUGCAAUAAUAGAAAGAUGUGCAUAACAUCUCUGCUAGCUUGUUGAUCGAGGAGGCGUUUUAGUGACUCAAUAAAUGGGAAUCAGGUAAUAGUUAUUGUACUACUAGCUACUUAUUAUCAUCCAGCAAUGUCCAACUUUUUCAUGGUUGGAUCAAACCCCUAACUACAUUUGAUCAUUGUACCGUAUAUUUAUUGAGAAACCAGUUAUAUUAGUUCCAAAGAUAUUUGAGACUUUCUUUUUGGUCAGCAUAUUCUUAGGUUACUUCAGAAACCUACAACUACAUUCGUUCAUUGUACCAUAUAUUUAUUGAGUAACCAGUCUUAAGUGAAUCGAGCUGGUGGCAAUUUCUGAGGGCAUGUUCGGUUUAGAAUAUUUGAGGCUCAAAAUGGGAUCGUAAUAAGUCAUUUUUAUUAUUAGCAUUUGGAUUGAGAAAUUGUCAUUUCGAUUUUCGUUCUGGAGGAAUUCAAAUUCUUCAGAAGUGACUCCCACAAUUGAGAUGGGAGUCAACUUAGGGCUUGUUUGGUUCAUCUAUUUUGGGUAUGAAAUGGGAAUUGGUUUGAUCAAAUCCGGUUAAUUUUGUUUAGUUCGCAUGAAUCGGUUUGGGAUUCCUAUUCCGGACUGGAAUGGGAAUGGCCCAUUAACCUUCAACUUGAUUCCGAUCUUCUAGCCUAGAUUGAGAUUUCAUUCCGGAAGCCCACUAAGUUCUCGAAGCCCAUGUGACCAUCUCACCCUCCUUCUCUCCACUCCUUUCUCAUCAAAAAAAAAAAAAAUCUAUCAUCUCUCAAAACCCUAUCUCUAACCCACAUUAAUAAAAGUUUUUAAAAAUAAAUUUAAUAUUUUUUUGGAAAAACUUAUUAGAGAAUAGUAUUAUAUUUUUCAUAAAUUUUAAAUAAUAUAAAUUUAUCUUUGAGAAUAAAAUUAGUAUUAUAGUAUCCUAUAAUUUUUUUAAUUUAUACGAAUCAAACAAUGAAAUGUGAAUAACUCAUUCCAAUUCCCAAUCCACAAAUAAACCAAACGUCUUGAAGGAGUGGGUCAUUCCAAUUACCAUUCCAAUUCAUUCAUAUUCCAUUAUCCAUUCCAAUUCUACCCUUGAACCAAACAAGCCCUUAGAUUAUGAGUUGAUUGUAGAAAGAAUUUCUUUUGUUCCAUAAUAAUUAUUUGAAUUCAAAUAUAAAUUUAAAUAUGGAUUAAAUUAAAUCAUAAUUUCAAAAUUUUGAAACAUGAAUUAAAAUUUUAAAUAUUUUGUUGUUUCACAAAAUAUUCAAAAUAUUGUGGAAGGCAUUGGAAUAUACCUUUCGUCAGAACAAAGAAAACCCAGAAACGAAAAAGAAAAGGAAAGGAAAGGAAAAGGGGGAAAAGAAACAGGAACUUAAUUGUAUUGAUUAAUGCUACUCUCACUUUCGAAAGGAGAUAGAAGGAGAACCUGAAAUUAAGUUAUUGAUUAUUCGGGCGGUGUAUGGAACUUACCAUUGCAUUAUUUGUGCAAUUUUUUUAUGUUAUAAUUUUUAUUAUUAGAUUCUACAUUUGGUUAUUUUGAUGGUAAGUAAUCUUCUUAAUUUAUUUUCUAAAAAUAAAUUUAGAUAAAAAUAUAAAACAAUUAAGUUUUUCAUAUGGAAUAUCAGCGUACUAUCAAAUUUUUAGUCAAGUACGUUAAAUACGAAUUAAUUAAAAAAUAAAUAAAUAUUUAAAAUUAAAAUUCAAAAAGCGGACAUAAAAAUUGGCCACACGUACUCCCCGUCUAGAAAACCCCUUUUUAAUUGAAAAUGAUUGAAUUGGAUGGAACUCAAACUCAAGCUCGUUUUAUUACUAUGAACCGGAUGCGGAAGGUUCGCGAUCAGUUUUUUUUUCUUUUUCCCUCAAAAAACAAAAAAAUCAGCAAUCCAACCAUCACCUUCGGAUCACCGCCGUUAAUUAAUGGACGGUAGGGAUUAACUACAGCCUACGACGCCCGAUGCGCCACUCUCCGUUCAUUGGCCGCGGCGGCGUCCGCAUAAAACGGGUCCCUGCAACAACCGGGCAAUAUUCUGAGACCUUAAAACCUCCUCCCUAGGGUUUAGGCCACCUCCGAGGGAAUCGAAGAGAGAGAAUUAGGGUUUCUCCUCCUCUUCGCGCCAUUCGAAGGAGAGGAUUCCUCUCCUUCCUCGCUCUAUUUCUCUUCGAAUUCCUUCCCCCCCUCACCAAUGGCGCGAUCCGUUCGCGCGGGGCUCUCCUUCUUGUUCGCGCGGAGCUCUGUCGCUCCCAACGUGAGCUCGCUCCCCUUCUUCACCAUCCUUGUAUUCGAAUCCUAACCUUCGACUGCUUUGUUUGCAGUUAGACGCGUCUCCUCGUCGAUUCAUCUCGCGAGUUUGCGGAUCUUCUCGGGUUUUCGCCGAUGAGCAAUCCGAAUCAGGUGAUUUGGGCGCUUAAAUUUUGAUCCCUUUUCCCUUGUAUUUACCAUGGUUGUUCUCUUCUAGAGUUACUGAUCACACGCUGCUUUAUCAGAGGGAUUGAAGAGCGGGUUUCAGAGUGGAGUUCCACGCGGGCAAUGGUGCCCGAGCAGGUCGUUCCAUGGUCCGGGGUGAUGCUUAGAUUACUAUGUUAUAAUCUGAAUCUCGCUUCCUCUACUUUUCUUAUCUGAGUGAUAAAAAUCCUUUCUUGUGGUUUAGGAACGAGAAAAUUGGCUGUUAGAGACUAUUAUGAUGUGCUCGGAGUGAGCAAGAAUGCUAGUGCAUCUGAGCUAAAGAAAGCCUAUUAUGCGGUAUGCGAAUGUGUUUCUGACAGUAUUUAUUCAAUCUGCAACUUAAAAUUAUGUUUCUCUUUGCGUCGGUGUCGUUUGCUUCCUAUGUCCCUAACGCACACCGUGCUGUUCUCCUAUUAAUUUAAUGGAUAUAUCCAAAGCUUUUCUAAGCUGUAGAGAAAAGAAUGCUAUGCAACCUUCAUUUCCAACUAAAUUGCUGUAUUGUUUCUUUUGCUACUUUUGUUUGUUGAAUGUCAAAUUACGCAAUCACUUAUCUAUGUUACUGUUAAUACUUUUUCUUACCGAUUGAUGAUUGUACUAUUUAACCACUAUUUUACUUACUCUGCUUAGAACUAAGCUUGGAAUUAUAGCAGUCCCUAAAUUCUGUUGCUUUAUGCAAAUUUUUAAUACAAGUUGCUUUUAUGUUGUGUUAUUACACUUUCUUUUGGCAUUAUUGCUGUCUACUGAAUAUGUUAAAUGCAUAUUAUCUAAAGAACAGUUAUGCAUAGGUUCUGCUUGUCCUGCUCCCCAGUGCCUCUUGCUUUCUUCAUGAAGAAUACACUAUUUCUUUGUUUGCCAUUUUGGUUUUACCCAACUUCCGGUGUGAUGUUUCUGCAGAUUGCAAAGAAGCUUCAUCCUGAUAUGAAUAAAGAUGAUGCUAAUGCAGAACAGAAGUUUCAAGAAGUCAAUCGUGCCUAUGAAGUAUUAUAUUUGGAAUAAAGUAUGCCUUUGUUUUUCCUCAACUGUGUCUCUACUUUAAUGAGAAUCAAUUGAUUUUAUACUUGUAGGUUUUAAAGGAUGACGAUAAGCGUGCAACUUAUGACCAGGUGCAAUAUAUUUUAGCCCUUUUCCUUUUCCAGUAUGUCGGUGUGUCAUAUGAUAUAUUGGGAACGUUUUAUUCGUUAAAUUCUUUUAUUACUUUUCUUUCAGAAAGUAAUCUGUCUGUCUUUAUAUCUGUCUUGCAUUAUGAUAUUCCAGUGUCUUUUUAUUAGUGUUUGAAGCUGCAUUUCAAUGAUUUGUAUAAGGAAUGAGGAAGUCCCUUCUCCGAAUGCCUACAAUAAGUAAUUUAGUAUCUAUGGAAGAAAAAAAGGGAAAAUUUCAAAUACCCCCCGUCAUUCAGCGCUUUCUCACUUAAGUACCUUGUGGUUGUUUUUCUUUUUCUAUUACCCCCUCCGUUAAAUUUUUCAUUAACCUAGUGGUAAAGUUAAAAUCAUAUGGUACUAAAGUGAAAAAUCGGUAAACCACAGGGGGGAACUGAAGUUUUUUCUAUGUGCUUUAAUGGAGAAGUUAAUAGAGAAACCGCUGGGUACUAAAGUGAGAAAGCGCUGAACCACAAGAGGGGUGUAUAUAUAUGUGUGUGUAUAUAUUAAUAUAUAUAUGUAUGUAUGUAUAUAUGUAUGUAUGUAUAUAUGUAGUAUGUACAUACAUACAUACAUACAUACAUAUAUAUUUGAAUAUGUGUAUAGAUAUGAAUAUGUGUAUGUAAAUAUAUGUAUAUGUAUGUGUGUGUGUGUGUGUGUGUGUGUGUGUGUGUGUUUGUGUGUAUGAGAGGGCGUCACUCAUGCUA